RNAcentral lists this ribosomal RNA (253 nucleotides) under uncultured bacterium. Its description in RNAcentral is "partial 16S ribosomal RNA". It matches the Rfam family "Bacterial small subunit ribosomal RNA", at positions 524 to 776 of the family's 1533-position model. The record is from RNAcentral.
UACGAAGGGGGCGAGCGUUGUUCGGAUUUACUGGGCGUAAAGGGCGCGCAGGCGGCGACAUUUGUCAGGCGUGAAAGCCCGAGGCUCAACCUCGGAACUGCCUUCGAUACUGCGGGUCUCGAGUCCGGGAGGGGUGAGUGGAAUUCCUAGUGUAGAGGUGAAAUUCGUAGAUAUUAGGAAGAACACCAGUGGCGAAGGCGGCUCACUGGCCCGGUACUGACGCUGAGGCGCGAAAGCGUGGGGAGCGAACAGG